RNAcentral lists this long non-coding RNA (961 nucleotides) under Drosophila guanche. Lineage: Eukaryota; Metazoa; Arthropoda; Insecta; Diptera; Drosophilidae. The record is from RNAcentral.
UUACACACUGACUCACAUACCAGUCCCGACCAGUCCAUACCGGACAGCCACAGCCAUUGGAGACACAUUGGCUUUUGCUGAGUGAUAAGUCUCCGCCUGUGUAUGAUAUUCCACAUAAACAUAAGCUUGCUGGAUGCUAAUUUGUGUCAUUUUUGCAGCAAUGCGGCUGACAAAGAAGCGUCUGUUUGGUCUUUCCCCAGAAAAAAUGCGGCACUGGCAUAAACAAAAUCAAAAACCGAAGCCGAACCGAAACCGAAACUGAAAACGAACCCAAGGCAUGUGUGCACAGCGAAUAUCUAGCGGAUGCGUAGCCUCAGGGCUGUCCCUCAGCAAAGUCCGCGCACUUAUUUAUUUAUUUUAUGAUUCACUUACGAGGCUUGCUCCCCAGUGCAGCCCCACUGAAAUCAGCAGCGCACAGAGAGGGAGCAGUGAGCAGGGUGGAGCCUCAUACAAUAACUUCUGUUCUAUGCCAGUUGUGCGACUGAAAAUAGAAUUUCUAGUUUUAUAUUCAUCAAAGAGAGCGGUGUGAAAAAGUAUACUCGAAAGAGUAGCUGGGGAAUUAAUUUGCAUUCAAGUGAGAAGCUGAAAGAUAAAACCUUUUGGAGAUGCAAAUGGAUUAGAACCGAACUAAAAGGAAAGAAUUUAUUUAAAAAAUAUAAUUCAAUGAAGGAAAAAAUAUAAAUUAAAUGCCAAAGAAUGUACUUGAAAAAACCCAUAAAAAACCAUCGAAGUACCUACGCCAACACCACGGCAAACCAAUUGAAAUGAAAGGCAAAUCAUGUUUGUACAAAAUUACCAUAAAUUAGAAAUAUUAUUUUAUAAUUUUCCUAAACAAAAACCCGUUCAGAAAAACCGCUAAUGUCACUCCUUUUUGGCCCAGCAAACAUUACCCAAAAUGUCAACUUGCUUCCGUGGUGUGAAGCCAUAAAAACGAAUAAAUUUCGAAGCAAAUUCGAAUGGC